Molecule: non-coding RNA, 46 nt
Filed under: Trypanosoma brucei brucei
Lineage: Eukaryota; Euglenozoa; Kinetoplastea; Trypanosomatida; Trypanosomatidae
Source: RNAcentral
AUAUUAAUCUAAACGAAAGCUUAUAUACAGUGAUUUUAAUGGAUAA